GAUGAACGCUAGCGGCAGGCUUAACACAUGCAAGUCGAGGGGCAGCGCGAUGUAGCAAUACAUUGGCGGCGACCGGCGCACGGGUGCGUAACACGUAUGGAACUUACCCUUUACUGGGAGAUAGCCCGGAGAAAUCCGGAUUAAUAUCCCAUAAUAAACGAAGUGGCAUCACUUUGUUUGAAAGCUCCGGCGGUAAAGGAUGGCCAUGCGCACGAUUAGCUAGUAGGUGAGGUAACGGCUCACCUAGGCUACGAUCGUUAGGGGGCCUGAGAGGGUUAUCCCCCACACUGGUACUGAGACACGGACCAGACUCCUACGGGAGGCAGCAGUGAGGAAUAUUGCGCAAUGGAGGCAACUCUGACGCAGCCAUGCCGCGUGCAGGAAGAAGGCGCUACGCGUUGUAAACUGCUUUUAACCGGGAAGAAACCCUCCGACGUGUCGGAGGUUGACGGUACCGGAGGAAUAAGCACCGGCUAACUUCGUGCCAGCAGCCG
RNAcentral lists this ribosomal RNA (494 nucleotides) under uncultured bacterium. Its description in RNAcentral is "bacterial SSU rRNA". It matches the Rfam family "Bacterial small subunit ribosomal RNA", at positions 28 to 517 of the family's 1533-position model. The record is from RNAcentral.